Non-coding RNA from Camelina sativa (false flax), 1396 nucleotides. The record is from RefSeq and is a predicted model, not a curated record. NCBI's taxonomy places the organism in Eukaryota, Viridiplantae, Streptophyta, Magnoliopsida, Brassicales, Brassicaceae.
GUGAAACAAAUGCAAUCGAGUGCUUCUUCUUCCAUUCGAUUGAUCUUAUUUCUAGAUUAUAAUUAGCGAUAUUUCAUUCUUCAAUCGUACCUUCUAAUCAAAUUGACUACAUCGAAAAUCGAGAACUUGUUUCGCGCUGUUUUUACGAAAUCGGGAAAUGAGAGGAGUCCUACCAAGUCGAAUCGAAUCGAAGAUGUCUGUGUUGGGGUAGAUAAAUUCAAUAAUUGGCGGAUUCGGUUUUCAACCAUGAGUAUAAGACUGAAGUGGUAAUCAAUUUGAUUGGGUUGAACGCUUCAGGGUAUCAAGUGACAUGUAUUUUCAUCAACAUCAGUUUCUUACCACAGAUUUCAUGUUUCUUGAGCGAAAAAUAGAAAGAUGAGUUCCUAAUUCAUUUUUUUUUCUUACAACAUUGGCGAUUACUGUAUUGUGAUAACUUAUUAGAUACUACAGUGUAACGUAAAUUUAAGAUACAUAAUAAGAUGACAUAUUUCCUUUUAGAUUUGAAUUGAUAUAGUUAGUGUUUGAUAAUUGGGAACUAAUUGAAUAUAAUGCACUUUUAUGUAUCAGCUUCGAGUGGUUUGUGAGGAGAAUGGAUUCCAUUCAUUGGCUGUCAAGUUUUUGAUCUCAAAGAAGGAGAUUUAGAGGAUCACAAUAAAAGGAUUGAAGCGCACAUGUGUCAGAGGAAGAGAGAUGUUGACUCGUAGGUGUUUGAGUUUUUGAAUGGCUUGGUAUUGAUUUAAAUCGUUUCAAGGGUUACACUACCAGAUGCCCUUAUCAUGGUUUUAGCAAUGCUUCAUUACUCAGUACACUAUACCGAGGAGUGGUCCCUAAGAUACGGAUGUUGCUGGACACCGCAAGCAAUGGUAACUUCCUCAACAAAGAUGUCGAUGAAGGUUGGGAUCUAGUGGAGAACUUGGCUCAAUCUGAUGGGCAAUACAAUAAGGAGUACGAUCGCACUGUGCGAUCUACUGGAGAGGAAGAUGCCAAGUACAAGAGGGACAUAAAAACCCUCAAUGACAAGCUCGAUAAGCUCCUCAACCAGCAGCAGCAUGUCCAUGCAAUCUCAGAGGAAGAGCAGUUUCUACAACAAGAUGGGGAGAAUGCUCAGCUAGAGGAUGUGAACUACAUCAACAACCAAGGAGAUUACAACAAAGGGUACAACAACUACAAACCGAAUCCGAAUCUAUCCUACUAUAACCCAAAUGUUGCAAACCCUCAAGACCAAGUCUACCCAUCCGCCAUUCAAGGGGAUCUUAAAUGAUUUUAUUUUUGAUUAUUUGUUUUGCUAGAAUUUGAAGGAGAUGAUGUUGUGUGGACUAUCCGGGUUUUCAUUCAUAUUUAAGGUAACACAUUAUUUUCAGCGACAUUACAUUUUUAUACAGUUCGAUUAAGUUAA